GCCGCGGCCGAAGAUUCCCGGGAUUCCGCUGAGGCCGGCUCGGAAAUUCGGGAAUCGGAGCUUUCCCAAAGGAAACGUUCCCCGGAGCGGGAAGGGAGCGGAGAGGACGGAAAAGGGACGGAGCCGAGGGAAGAGGGAGCUCCUGGGUCAGAGGCUGCGGCGAGCGAGGAAUCCGCGGAUCCCGGCGGGAAGGAUUCCGAGGAUUCCUGCGUGCUCCUCGUUUCCAACCUGCCCGACAAGGGAUAUUCCGAGGAGGAAAUCUCCAACCUGGCCAAACCCUUCGGAGGC
Molecule: non-coding RNA, 288 nt
Organism: Pseudopodoces humilis (Tibetan ground-tit)
Lineage: Eukaryota; Metazoa; Chordata; Aves; Passeriformes; Paridae
Source: RefSeq, a predicted model, not a curated record